This is a non-coding RNA of Pelobates cultripes (western spadefoot toad), 298 nucleotides long. NCBI's taxonomy places the organism in Eukaryota, Metazoa, Chordata, Amphibia, Anura, Pelobatidae. The record is from the annotation of a GenBank genome assembly.
CAUGCAGAUAAUAACACCAUAUCAUGACCGAUAAGCACAAUGGCUGAACUGAAGGUCUAUCCCACCAUGACAUUUUUUCUUAUGUUUAAUUGCCUAGUUUUGACAAUGAUCAGUCUUAUCUUCCUACACAUGUUGAGCAUCAACAGAAUCAGAAAUGGCCCUCUGUACUGCAAUAUUAUUGUUGUUGUUUUGAUGGGUGGUGCCCAGGAAGCAGCAGUAAGUCAGACUCAUAGUCAAGGAUCAGGGGCAGGCAGCGCAGGUUCAGAAACGGUCCCUGGAGGAGCUGCAUCAGCCACAG